CCAAUUUGUUUCUUCCACAUUUCUUCUUCUUUCUUCUUUCCCAUUCCCCUAUUACAGGCCAUUGUCCUAAUGUGGACAUGGAAUUCAGCACCAUCUUCUACAUGUAUGUUGCUUUUCUCCUCAUUGUUCUCUCCAACUCGUUGCUCACAUCCUUCACUUCCGAUCACUAGGAAUAGCCACUCCCUCCCUGUUUCCAUUGGUUGGUCUUACAUUGGAGAAACCUUUUCAAUGUGUUCUCAACACCCAAGCAAUCUUCUUUUUCACACAAAUGAAAAGGGUCAUGUUAAUGCUUUCACUUAUCAACAUAUAAUGCUAUUCCUUUAAAAAAGUUGCUAGCAAGUAGUUCAUUUGAUGCUCCUUUGCUUAUUCAUUGAUAUCUAAAACAGAAAAAUGGUAUGUACUUGGAUUGUUUGGUAAUUUUUUUUGUGUGGUCAUCACAUGAACUAGUUGAGAGAUUGGGGAGGUGCAUGAUGAAAUGGAAAAUGAAAAUUUGAUAUGUAGCCCUUUUUUGUGAGAAAGAAAAUGUUUGGGUCUUGAGAAUACAUUUGAAAGGUUUCUCCUAUGUAAGGCCUACCCAUGAAAUCAGGAGGGAGCAGCUGAUCCUGGUGUUUGCAGGGGAAAGAUUGGAGCAGUUACUUUAAUAGAAUAAUGAAGAGAGAAGUAGCAAAAAAGCAAAACAUGGUGCUUAGGUUCAUUACAAUAUUUAGUGUUCGUGGCUUGUAAUAGGUGAAUAGGGAAGAAAAUGAAGCAAAACUGAUGAUCAGUGAAGUAAAGCUAGCAAAAUUACACUAGUAUAACAGCAAAAACUCCACUCUCUGAAUGCAGAAGAUUCAUGAAGGAAUCUUUGGCAAGGGUGUGAAUCUGGAUGAGAGAAAACCUCAUUUACUUAAGGUUGUUAUUUGAGUUGGCAACUUGGUCCCAUUAAUAUGCUUCACUGAUCUCUAUUAAUUCUCUCCAAAGUCUGCCUCAUGUCUUCCAUCCCAGGAAAGAGUUAAGGAAAGUUCAUCUAAUCUUUGAAUUUCAGUGAAGUAAAGCAAGAGUAUCUUAAGCAUUGAGCAAAACAAGAGUAUUAAGAACCAGGGAGUUGUGGUGUUACUUUCAACAGUGCUUCAUCAGUAACCUCAUUUUCCAAAGGCGGAGAAAGUAUAUUUGGCUUGCAAGAAAACUCGUUUGACAAGAAGAUACUUAUAAUUCUAAUUCUAAUUCAACUUUUUAUUUUCAUCUUGGAAGAAUGAUAGCCAGAACCAAGAAAGUGUUCUAUUAAAAUUGGUAAGAAAUUGGGUAUGCCUGACUAGUAAAACAUCCCAUAGAAGUUCAAAUGUUUACAUUAUACCAAUUUUCACAAAAAAAGAAAGAAAAAGAAAAAGAAAGAGAGGAUAAACUUAUUUAGGGUAUGUUUGGUUUCACAUCAAUCAUGUCUAGAAUCAAUUCUAUAACAUCCAAAAUGACCAGAAUUACAUUUACUAAAUGUUUGGUUAAUAACAAAAUUGAUUUCAAGAUGUGAAAAUUGAUACUCACUUGGAAGCAAAUGUUAGUACUCUCCAUCAAACAAAAUUAAUUUUAGGGUUUUAUUUGUCUAGUUUUAUAAUUACUCACUCAAAAUCAAUUUUAGUAACAAGUUUUUAAACAAUACUUAAUAUGACAAUUAAAUCUAUAUCCUUUGUAGUCCAAACAAAAAUACAUUACUUAUUCCUCACGUUUAAUUAAAAUUUUACAAAUUAACAUCGAUUCAAAAUUAAUAAUAUUGAUACAUAUCCAAACUCACACUUAAUCAAUCGAUUGUCCAAAGGGACAAUGUUGUUAUUUAAAAAUGAGACAUAAUAUUUAACCGCUCAACACAUUUUCUUUCAAGUAAAACAAGUUUAUGUUUUAUGCAAACCUCUUGUAAAUCUGUAAUUUUAUGCAUUACAUAUUAUUCCCUACUUAUAUAUAUUAUUUUAGUCAUUUUAUUAGUAAAAUCCCAACAUAUCUUUUAAAACAAUUUCAAAUUUUAAUAGUUCUGCUUCAUGGAUUUGUCAUAAAAGCAGAUGGGACUGGAACCCAACUUUUUCCAUUCUGUCAUUUUUUUGUCUUUCAUCAAUAAUAACACAACAGAUGUGCUCUGAAUUGAGGACGAAUUUAACA
This is a long non-coding RNA of Cajanus cajan (pigeon pea), 2124 nucleotides long. RefSeq lists it as uncharacterized. The record is from RefSeq and is a predicted model, not a curated record. NCBI's taxonomy places the organism in Eukaryota, Viridiplantae, Streptophyta, Magnoliopsida, Fabales, Fabaceae.